UAAUUGAAGAGUUUGAUCCUGGCUCAGAUUGAACGCUGGCGGCAUGCCUAACACAUGCAAGUCGAACGUGAAAGAGGGGCAACCCUCAAGUAAAGUGGCGGACGGGUGAGUAAUACGUAGGAAUCUGCCCUAGAGUGGGGGAUAACCUGCCGAAAGGCGGGCUAAUACCGCAUACUCUCUACGGAGCAAAGGUGUCACGCAUUCAAGUGCGUGAUUUCGCUUUAGGAUGAGCCUACGUCGGAUUAGCUAGUUGGUGGGGUAAUAGCCUACCAAGGCGACUAUCCGUAGCUGGUCUGAGAGGACGAUCAGCCACACUGGAACUGAGACACGGUCCAGACUCCUACGGGAGGCAGCAGUGGGGAAUAUUGGACAAUGGGGGCAACCCUGAUCCAGCAAUGC
Molecule: ribosomal RNA, 399 nt
Filed under: Coxiellaceae bacterium
Lineage: Bacteria; Pseudomonadati; Pseudomonadota; Gammaproteobacteria; Legionellales; Coxiellaceae
Description: bacterial SSU rRNA
Rfam family: Bacterial small subunit ribosomal RNA
Source: RNAcentral